Non-coding RNA from Cinara cedri, 349 nucleotides. NCBI's taxonomy places the organism in Eukaryota, Metazoa, Arthropoda, Insecta, Hemiptera, Aphididae. The record is from the annotation of a GenBank genome assembly.
CGCGCGCGCGCCCGGAAUGUCAAACGGCUGCAAUAUAAAUCAGUCGGCCCACAGUUGGUUGUAAUAAUAAAGGACUUUUGGUCGUUUUGGUGAAAUUAUUAUUACGGCGCGCACUAAGUGGUGUCUGAAAUUCGGAAUGCCGAGAAUCCCGAACAUCCCGACAGUAUAACAAACGGCAAGUAGAGAAGAUCCAGAGCGCAUCAGUCCAUGUAUGGGUAUAACGCUCCGUAUUAUUAUUAUUAUUAUUAUUGUUAUUAUUGUUAUCAUUAUUAUACGCGGACUAUUGUUGAUUAGAGCAAUCCGUUUCGGGCGUCGUGUUUUCGGACACUGCUGAAAACGUUUGGUGAAA